UACGUAGGGUGCGAGCGUUGUCCGGAAUUAUUGGGCGUAAAGGGCUCGUAGGCGGUCUGUCGCGUUGUUCGUGAAAACUCACAACUCAAUUGUGGGCGUGCGGGCGAUACGGGCAGACUGGAGUACUGCAGGGGAGACUGGAAUUCCUGGUGUAGCGGUGGAAUGCGCAGAUAUCAGGAGGAACACCGGUGGCGAAGGCGGGUCUCUGGGCAGUAACUGACGCUGAGGAGCGAAAGCGUGGGGAGCGAGCAGG
This 253-nucleotide ribosomal RNA is filed under the name uncultured bacterium. Its description in RNAcentral is "partial 16S ribosomal RNA". It matches the Rfam family "Bacterial small subunit ribosomal RNA", at positions 524 to 776 of the family's 1533-position model. The record is from RNAcentral.